RNAcentral lists this unclassified non-coding RNA (375 nucleotides) under fungal sp. Its description in RNAcentral is "partial internal transcribed spacer region". The stretch from base 1 to 46 matches the Rfam family "Eukaryotic small subunit ribosomal RNA", at positions 1786 to 1831 of the family's 1831-position model. The record is from RNAcentral. Lineage: Eukaryota; Fungi.
AAGUCGUAACAAGGUUUCCGUAGGUGAACCUGCGGAAGGAUCAUUAACACGUGUCCAACGUUAAAACAACCCGUGAACUUUCAGCUUGCUCCUGUAGCCCGUGAAAGCAGCAAUCCCAAUCAUUGUUUGACCAGCUUUUGAGUCAGGGACCUCUGCAGAUUGUAGCUAUAAAGCGAUUGCAUCUAGUGACCUGGCAUCCCCAAGUAAUCAGUGUUCUGAAAGUGUCAUUGAUUGUGUAAGGAUGGCGCAGUCACAAUCGCUGCGGCGACCGGGUCACCGGGCUCUGCUCCUUUACGACAACUACAGUCUAACUUCGCCGCGCGUGAAAUUCGCACGGCACCAAAAACCGAACAACUGAUGGAUAUCUUGGUUCUC